GAUGAACGCUAGCUACAGGCUUAACACAUGCAAGUCGAGGGGCAGCAUUGGAGUAGCAAUACUUCAGAUGGCGACCGGCGCACGGGUGAGUAACACGUAUCCAACCUGCCGCUUACUCGGGGAUAGCCUUUCGAAAGAAAGAUUAAUACCCGAUGGUAUAAAGAGUUCGCAUGUUCUCUUUAUUAAAGAAUUUCGGUAAGCGAUGGGGAUGCGUUCCAUUAGAUAGUUGGCGGGGUAACGGCCCACCAAGUCUACGAUGGAUAGGGGUUCUGAGAGGAAGGUCCCCCAAUUGGAACUGAGACACGGUCCAAACUCCUACGGGAGGCAGCAGUGAGGAAUAUUGGUCAAUGGACGAGAGUCUGAACCAGCCAAGUAGCGUGAAGGAUGACUGCCCUAUGGGUUGUAAACUUCUUUUAUAAGGGAAUAAAGUGAGGGACGUGUCCCUUUUGUAUGUACCUUAUGAAUAAGGAUCGGCUAACUCCGUGCCAGCAGCCGCGGUAAAAAGUACUCUAU
This 513-nucleotide ribosomal RNA is filed under the name uncultured bacterium. Its description in RNAcentral is "bacterial SSU rRNA". It matches the Rfam family "Bacterial small subunit ribosomal RNA", at positions 28 to 538 of the family's 1533-position model. The record is from RNAcentral.